Molecule: unclassified non-coding RNA, 173 nt
Filed under: uncultured Sordariomycetes
Lineage: Eukaryota; Fungi; Ascomycota; Sordariomycetes
Description: sequence contains ITS2
Source: RNAcentral
CAACCCUCAGGCCUCGUGUCUGGCGUUGGGGCGCUGCGGCCCUCCCGCAGGCCCCCAAAUUUAGCGGCGGACCCGUCCGGCCCUGAGCGCAGUAGAGAGUAAACUCAAACGCUCCGGCGGCCGUGGCGCGGUUAUUCCUUCCGCCCCAUAGCGCCAAUGGCGCCACCCCUAUA